RNAcentral lists this ribosomal RNA (495 nucleotides) under uncultured bacterium. RNAcentral describes it as "partial 16S ribosomal RNA". It matches the Rfam family "Bacterial small subunit ribosomal RNA", at positions 28 to 507 of the family's 1533-position model. The record is from RNAcentral.
GACGAACGCUGGCGGCGUGCCUAAUACAUGCAAGUAGAACGCUGAAGGAGGAGCUUGCUUCUCUGGAUGAGUUGCGAACGGGUGAGUAACGCGUAGGUAACCUGCCUGGUAGCGGGGGAUAACUAUUGGAAACGAUAGCUAAUACCGCAUAAGAGUAGAUGUUGCAUGACAUUUGCUUAAAAGGUGCAAUUGCAUCACUACCAGAUGGACCUGCGUUGUAUUAGCUAGUUGGUGGGGUAACGGCUCACCAAGGCGACGAUACAUAGCCGACCUGAGAGGGUGAUCGGCCACACUGGGACUGAGACACGGCCCAGACUCCUACGGGAGGCAGCAGUAGGGAAUCUUCGGCAAUAGACGGAAGUCUGACCGAGCAACGCCGCGUGAGUGAAGAAGGUUGUCGGAUCGUAAAGCUCGGUUGUAAGAGAAGAACGAGUGUGAGAGUGGAAAGUUCACACUGUGACGGUAUCUUACCAGAAAGGGACGGCUAACUACGUG